CGCGUAGGCGGUCUCGUAAGUCAGAUGUGAAAGCCCGGGGCUCAACCCCGGAAGUGCAUUUGAAACUAUGAGACUUGAGUAUGGGAGAGGGAAGUGGAAUUCCUGGUGUAGAGGUGAAAUUCGUAGAUAUCAGGAGGAACACCGGUGGCGAAGGCGACUUCCUGGACCAAUACUGACGCUGAGGCGCGAAGGCGUGGGGAGCAAACAGGAUUAGAUACCCUGGUAGUCC
Molecule: ribosomal RNA, 229 nt
Filed under: uncultured bacterium
Lineage: Bacteria
Description: partial 16S ribosomal RNA
Rfam family: Bacterial small subunit ribosomal RNA
Source: RNAcentral